CGAAUGAACGCUGGCGGCAGGCCUAACACAUGCAAGUCGAACGGCACCUUCGGGUGUAGUGGCGGACGGGUGAGUAACGCGUGGGAACGUACCUUUUGCUUCGGAAUAGCCUCGGGAAACUGGGAGUAAUACCGAAUGUGCCCUUCGGGGGAAAGAUUUAUCGGCAAGAGAUCGGCCCGCGUUAGAUUAGCUUGUUGGUGAGGUAAUGGCUCACCAAGGCUACGAUCUAUAGCUGGUCUGAGAGGAUGAUCAGCCACACUGGGACUGAGACACGGCCCAGACUCUUACGGGAGGCAGCAGUGGGGAAUCUUGGACAAUGGGCGAAAGCCUGAUCCAGCCAUGCCGCGUGAAUGAUGAAGGCCCUAGGGUUGUAAAAUUCUUUCGACGGGGAAGAUAAUGACGGUACCCGUAGAAGAAGCUCCGGCUAACUUCGUG
This 435-nucleotide ribosomal RNA is filed under the name uncultured bacterium. RNAcentral describes it as "bacterial SSU rRNA". It matches the Rfam family "Bacterial small subunit ribosomal RNA", at positions 27 to 507 of the family's 1533-position model. The record is from RNAcentral.